This 223-nucleotide unclassified non-coding RNA is filed under the name plant metagenome. Its description in RNAcentral is "partial contains small subunit ribosomal RNA, internal transcribed spacer 1, and 5.8S ribosomal RNA". The record is from RNAcentral.
UCUCCGUUGGUGAACCGGCGGAGGGAUCAUUACCGAGUUAUCAACUCCCAAACCCCUGUGAACAUACCCAACGUUGCUUCGGCGGGACAGCCCCGGCGCCCUCGCCGUUCCGGAACCAGGCGCCCGCCCGAGGACCCAAACUCUUGUUUAAACCAUAGUGGUAUAUUUUAAGUGAAACAAGGAAAUUAAAUCAAAACUUUCAACAACGGAUCUCUUGGCUCUG